CUCCUGGUCUCCCCGGGCCCGGGCCCCGGCACCGCCCAGCGCUUCUCGCUCCGCUCCCCCGCCACCCUCCCCGGCCUCCUCACCAGCGUCCGCCUCCUCAAGCAGCGGGUGUCGGCGGCGCUCAGUGACCUGGUGACCCGGGAGCGGGAGGAGCAGCGGCAGCGACAGCGACCCCCAGGCCCCGGGGAGGCGCUCAGCCUCAGCCCCGACCCCAGUCACAGCCACAGCCACAGUGAAGAUGAAGACAGUGAAGAAAAUGAAUCAGAUACCAAGGCGGAUGGGGAUGCACCUCCUGUAAAACGCACCAAGAAACCUUCCUGACUCACCCCAGUGGGACAAUCUGUUUGUCAGUCUGCUUACAAUGACGGGAUCUGGAACGUUUUAUAGGGAGAACUACUCCAUCAGUUGGUGAUCGGGAUGGACAACAUUUGUUAAAUGUCAAUCUGGUGUUACCCUCACUUAUUUUUUUAUACAGACCUGUUAUAUACAAAAAAAAUAUUUCUGUUUGUGUUGGCCUUUGAACCCCUUUCAGUUCAUUGUUUGUUAACUUGGGAAUUUUGGUUCACACAAGAAAUCUAUCUAUGCGAUA
Molecule: long non-coding RNA, 589 nt
Organism: Callorhinchus milii (elephant shark)
Lineage: Eukaryota; Metazoa; Chordata; Chondrichthyes; Chimaeriformes; Callorhinchidae
Exons: 2
Source: RefSeq, a predicted model, not a curated record